CGGGUGUAGCUCAGUGGUAGAGCGUCACGUUGCCAACGUGAAUGUCGGCGGUUCGAAUCCGCUCACC
This 67-nucleotide transfer RNA is filed under the name marine eukaryotic metagenome. It matches the Rfam family "tRNA". Rfam says of the family: Transfer RNA (tRNA) molecules are approximately 80 nucleotides in length. Their secondary structure includes four short double-helical elements and three loops (D, anti-codon, and T loops). Further hydrogen bonds mediate the characteristic L-shaped molecular structure. tRNAs have two regions of fundamental functional importance: the anti-codon, which is responsible for specific mRNA codon recognition, and the 3' end, to which the tRNAs corresponding amino acid is attached (by aminoacyl-tRNA synthetases). tRNAs cope with the degeneracy of the genetic code in two manners: having more than one tRNA (with a specific anti-codon) for a particular amino acid; and 'wobble' base-pairing, i.e. permitting non-standard base-pairing at the 3rd anti-codon position. The record is from RNAcentral.